UAGUUUGAUCAUGGCUCAGAUUGAACGCUGGCGGUACGCUUAACACAUGCAAGUCGAACGGUAACAGCAAGAGCUUGCUCUUGGCUGACGAGUGGCGGACGGGUGAGUAACGCGUGGGAAUCUACCCAUUAGUCGGGGACAACCUGGUGAAAACCAGGCUAAUACCGGAUGUGGUCUACGGACUAAAGUAGGGGAUCUUCGGACCUUACGCUAUUGGAUGAGCCCGCGUUGCAUUAGCUUGUUGGUGGGGUAAUGGCCUACCAAGGCGACGAUGCAUAGCUGGUCUGAGAGGACGAUCAGCCACACUGGGACUGAGACACGGCCCAGACUCCUACGGGAGGCAGCAGUGGGGAAUAUUGGACAAUGGGCGCAAGCCUGAUCCAGCAAUACCGCGUAUGUGAAGAAGGCCCGAGGGUUGUAAAGCACUUUCAAUUGUGAAGAAAAGUUAUCGGUUAAUACCCGAUAGCCUUGACGUUAACUUUAGAAGAAGCACCGGCUAACUCCGUGCCAGCAGCCGCGGUAAUACGGAGGGUGCGAGCGUUAAUCGGAAUUACUGGGCGUAAAGCGUGCGUAGGCGGUUGCCUAAGUCAGAUGUGAAAGCCCCGGGCUUAACCUGGGAACUGCAUUUGAAACUGGGUAACUAGAGUGUGGUAGAGGAAGGUAGAAUUCCUAGUGUAGCGGUGAAAUGCGUAGAUAUUAGGAGGAAUACCAGUGGCGAAGGCGGCCUUCUGGACCAACACUGACGCUGAGGUACGAAAGCGU
This 762-nucleotide ribosomal RNA is filed under the name uncultured Gammaproteobacteria bacterium. Its description in RNAcentral is "bacterial SSU rRNA". It matches the Rfam family "Bacterial small subunit ribosomal RNA", at positions 9 to 762 of the family's 1533-position model. The record is from RNAcentral. Lineage: Bacteria; Pseudomonadati; Pseudomonadota; Gammaproteobacteria.